UCACCUCCACUCCCUCACACGCAAUACACACCCUCAUCCUCACUCAACACACACGAAGAAAUCAGAAAGCUAAGGGGGAGAACAGGAAGAAGAAGAGAGGAGAGGGAAGGAAGGAGAGAACAACGGCGGCUAACUGGCUAGGGCUUUGCCGUCGUCGUCGUCGAAUGCCAGUGAGAGAGAAGAGCUCGAGGAAGAGAAAACGCAAUGGAGGAGAGAAGAAAGGGGUGCUCCGUCGUCGCUGAAGCUCCACCGCCGCUGCUAGGGCUUUUUGCCGUCGCCGUUCUGCCACCGCCAGGCUGAUGUACCGCCGCCGAGGAUCUCGAAGGGAUGUCUCGCUGCCGUUAUACUCUGUCGCCGUGCUGCCGUCGACUGGAGCUCGCCGCUGAGCUGCUGCACCGUCUCCAAGCCGUUGCGUCACUGCUCAUCUCUUCUUCACCGUCGCCGCUCAUCACCAUGGUCAUAUCCUCUGUCACCAAAUAUAAAAUCAGGACAUGGAAGUGGACAUAUUGAGCAGACUAAACCACCUAAAUCUUAUUUCCUUGAUUGGCUCCUGUGCAGAGAAACCAUUUUUCUGCUUCGCUUUAUUUUUAGUGUAAUGGAAACAAAGCUCAAUUGCUGUGAAGAAUGUGCCUCAAAUUAUGAAAAGAAAUCUCAAUUUCUCAGACCAGGCCACAAGAAAACGUUACCUUUAUGGCUUCAGCCUCAUACCACCGAAACAAAUCAUCAGAAGGAUGAAUUAACCAGUUGAAAAGGAAAUGGAAUAGGCUAUGCCAGUGUCUUCACCAAACCAAACAAGAAGCUCAGGAUUAUUGGAGCAACAACAAUAGUUGGAAUGCAAAGUCCUACACUUUUAACAAUAAUUCAUCAAGUUCUGUGUCUUUUACAGAUAAACCAACACCAAUACAUAACUCCAAUCUUGUACCUAGAUUCAGACGUCAAAAUUCUUGCACCAUUGAGUUCAAUUUCAGCGAUAAAAGGCAAGCAACAACAGAACCAGUCUUAGGUUCCAUGGAAUUAUUGGAAGGUAAAGAAGUAAUAAAGACUACUCUUGCUCUUGGGAAUGGUGGUUCUGGUUCAGGUAGUGAAACGGUGGUGGUGGAAAAUAUAACCAAUAGAACACUGCGAAGAGCUCAUUUUUGAAACAUAUCGCUUUUUUGAAUCCAGUUUUCCAAGAUUGUUUAACUAAUUUGUUGUUACAACUAACAGACCAGAAAACUCACUCUACAAAGUCUCUAGGUUAAUUUUAAUUUUGUUGUUUGGAUUUUGUUUGAAUUUAAUUUUUUUCCAUGUGCUUUGAUGUGAGAAUGCAGACAGUAAUUUGGGUUUUACUGAGAUUUGAUUAAUAGUAUCAUAACAAGUUGGGGUUGGGGUUGAGUUCCCAUUAGAUAUAAGUUACAUAACUCUACCGUGUGAAGUGCUACUUCAUAAAUCAUAAUCAUUCUUAAGCUUAUUAUGCUGUAUGUAUCUGAUUCAUGUGCAAAAAAGUAGCUUAACUGUCCAUUCAUACCUCAAUUAUAUUCAAUUGCAUGUCAUUAUUCCAUUAUAUCUUUUCUAUUAUUCAAAGGUAAUAAAUCAUAGAACUGUUACAAUAAUGUAAAAACAUGAAUUAUGCGGAGUACCUGGAGAAAUAUUUUUUAUUUUAUUAGGUGAAAAAUUAACUUCUUAUCAUGAUUAAUUUGUGAAAUUUUGAUAAUAUUUCUGAUAUUUAUUUUUUCAUUGCUGGCUUUUUUAUUUUUUUCCCUAAAUUUUUUGUAUACUGGAUAUGGAAGGGAGCCUUGGAGCAAUGAUUUAAGUUUCUCCAAGUCAUUUCUAGGUCACAGGCUCAAGCUGUGUAAUUAGUCACUACCACUUGCAUUGAGUUAUGUGUUUCUUGGUUCACCGUCGCCGCUCAUUACCGCGCUCACCAAUGUCAAAGAAACUGUGUGCUCUCUCCCGACUGCUUCUCUGCUUUGCUGUGAAGCAUCAAGGUUUCCGAUGAGUCAAAGCAUCGAUCCCUAACAAGCGAGAGAGUAAUAGAAGGGGAAUCGUCUAGUUCCAUUGAGAAGCAUUUAGUUUCUGUUGAGGCAAGAUUAGAAAUUUCACUUCCUUUCUUGACAAAGUUAUAGUGGAAACAAAUGCUGUCAGCCUUGAUUAAAAUUGUUCUUCACACCUAUUUCAAGCUGGUUUCUUUUCUGAUUAUGAAUUGAAUAGUAAAAAAAAAAAUUCUGCAGUUUCAUUUUUGUUUUCUGUGUCUGUUGUGCAGGUUGGCAAUUCGCUAUUUUGAUUUAUUAAAGUCAAUUCAUGAACACAGAAAAAAGAUUGAUAAUUCUUACGGAUUCUGGCAGCAAAAAUAUUAGAAGGGCAUGGAUUAUAGGAAGUCGUAAUGGUGAAGACAGAAUUGCUCCACUGCUUGUGUUGAGCUCUUCUUUCAAAAAAAAAAAAAAUUGGUGAAGAUAGAAUUGACGUAGGAUAUAAUAUUUUAGUUUUUAGUAGAGUAUUAGUAGUAAAUUCUAAGUGGUCUCAUAUUUAUUUUGAUAUAGCUAUGCUUAAUUUAGUGUGAGAUGUAUGAAUAUUAAUACUUUUGGAUCAUUAUAAAUAUAUUUUAU
Long non-coding RNA from Arachis stenosperma, 2585 nucleotides. RefSeq lists it as uncharacterized. The transcript has 8 exons. The record is from RefSeq and is a predicted model, not a curated record. Lineage: Eukaryota; Viridiplantae; Streptophyta; Magnoliopsida; Fabales; Fabaceae.